AGAGUUUGAUCCUGGCUCAGGAUGAACGCUGGCGGCGUGCUUAACACAUGCAAGUCGAACGAAGCACUUUAUUUGAUUUCUUCGGAAUGAAGAUUUUGUGACUGAGUGGCGGACGGGUGAGUAACGCGUGGGUAACCUGCCUCAUACAGGGGGAUAACAGUUGGAAACGACUGCUAAUACCGCAUAAGCGCACAGGGUCGCAUGACCUGGUGUGAAAAACUCCGGUGGUAUGAGAUGGACCCGCGUCUGAUUAGCCAGUUGGUGGGGUAACGGCCUACCAAAGCGACGAUCAGUAGCCGACCUGAGAGGGUGACCGGCCACAUUGGGACUGAGACACGGCCCAAACUCCUACGGGAGGCAGCGGUGGGGAAUAUUGCACAAUGGGGGAAACCCUGAUGCAGCGACGCCGCGUGAGCGAAGAAGUAUUUCGGUAUGUAAAGCUCUAUCAGCAGGGAAGAAGAAAUGACGGUACCUGACUAAGAAGCACCGGCUAAAUACGUGCCAGCAGCCGCGGUAAUACGUAUGGUGCAAGCGUUAUCCGGAUUUACUGGGUGUAAAGGGAGCGCAGGCGGUACGGCAAGUCUGAUGUGAAAGCCCGGGGCUCAACCCCGGUACUGCAUUGGAAACUGUCGGACUAGAGUGUCGGAGGGGUAAGUGGAAUUCCUAGUGUAGCGGUGAAAUGCGUAGAUAUUAGGAGGAACACCAGUGGCGAAGGCGGCUUACUGGACGAUUACUGACGCUGAGGCUCGAAAGCGUGGGGAGCAAACAGGAUUAGAUACCCUGGUAGUCCACGCUGUAAACGAUG
Molecule: ribosomal RNA, 805 nt
Filed under: uncultured bacterium
Lineage: Bacteria
Description: bacterial SSU rRNA
Rfam family: Bacterial small subunit ribosomal RNA
Source: RNAcentral